Molecule: long non-coding RNA, 1982 nt
Organism: Siniperca chuatsi (mandarin fish)
Lineage: Eukaryota; Metazoa; Chordata; Actinopteri; Centrarchiformes; Sinipercidae
Exons: 3
Source: RefSeq, a predicted model, not a curated record
AACACAGAAUAUUGCACAAUUAUUAUUAAGUAUUGCAGUGAUGUAAUGAUCAAUGUCCAGUUUAAUGACUUAGGGUCAUACAGACUGACACUUAGAGGGAGGAUGCAUGUCACGUUCAAAUAUUAUUAGUGGAAAUGAUUUGGUUGACUGCAUUCACUAAGACAAUAUUACAUUUAUCCUUGAAUUAAUGAAUUUAAGAUAAAUGUUUCCAAUUUUGGUUCAGAUGAUCAGAUUAUAAUUAUGUAAGUGUUUGAUGUUGCUGUGACAGUAUUUCACAGACACCUCAUGACCUUGCAAUGGCAAAUUCUGGGAAUGACAAACCUGUAUUUAGGUUAAAGUAUUGGUUUUUUACAUUAAAUACUGUACACCUACAAUAGAUCAGUAGGUGUACAGUAUACAAUGUAUAAAACAGGGUGAAACAAACCUGUUUAGCCCUAACACUGGUGUAAGACAAACAUUAAAGGCUUUAAACACAAAAAUAGUGAGAUAAGAGAAAAACUAAAAAUGUAUAAUGUAUAAAGAAGAUCGACACGCUGGAGCUGAAAAAGGUGGGAUGUAAAACCUAUUGAUUCGGUGACAAUGGAAGGCUUUGGCUUUUCUGAGCAUGUACUUCUUAUGGUAGGCAAUAAGCUGGAAGCCACAAGUGCCGUCUGUGUGUAAUGGCAAGCCAGCUUUAUUUCUUUAUCUCUACCUUCCAAUUUUGCAAAUCAAAUAAUGAUGAGUGCAGCGGCAAGCAACCAGUGAUAAGAGGGUUUAGUGGUUGUGGAGAUUGAGUUAUUAGGGUUCGUAUAAAAUGGACAGAGGUCUCAGGCGGAGCCCGAGCGCCGGCCAAGAUACAUAUUCCUCGCACUGUGUAUUUUUGGUCACUUUAAAAGCCCUAAAAGUACAGGGGAAGGCUAAUUUUCAGGGUAAACAGCUUGUUCGAUUGCAGUGUGGUUUUGCGCUGAGCUCUCCGUUUAUUGACUCAAGCCGAGCAGUGCUCUGGCUCCUCUGCCGACCACAGGGAGAAGCCUGCCGACGGAGCCUGCAACAAAUACAAGCUGCUAACACUAGCUUACCUUUGAUGGCACACAACUGUUAAAUCAAAUGUACUGAGUAAUGUACAAAGCCUAAUCCUCUUGACUACAUGGCAGGUUGAGGGGAAAAAUGCUUUUAAAAGAACAUCUGCUCCUUUUAGAAAGCUAUUUGUCAUUUCCUAUUUCCUGCUGACUUAGGUUAAAUAAUAAAGAUAUAUAAAGUAGGAUUUGAAUUUGAAAGUACAAAAUUCAAAGUACAUGAAUUAUGAGAACAAACACUGCUCAGAGAAAAAAAUAUAUUUUCAUAGCAGUUUAAAAAAUGUAAAAUACAACAUCUACAGAAAAAAGGUCUUCACUUCCUCCACCAUCUUCUGAAGACAAUUACGAAAAAAGGAAAGAAAAAGAUUACACCUAAGAGGUCUCUACAUUCAGACUGCCUCUUUAAAAAAGCCUAACUCCAAAAGAGGGCUGCAAGUUGUUUUAGCUGAAGGAAGUGACCAUUCAUUAAGAAAGCCAGAGGAAUUUCCUUGCUUUUUCACUGUUGUUAGAUUUGUAUCAAGGCAAAACCAUCGCAGCACAACUCCUGCUUUCCAAGUCCUGUUCUCUCUGUGUGUGCGGCCCAGCUGCUCUGCUCCUCCCUCUGCAAACUGCUGGGAAUCCUGACCACACAGCGCCACACGGAGGACAACUCCUGUACUAAAACACAGGGCUGCCACCACGCUUUAAUGCAGAUUUCCAUGACUUUGGCUUCUCGCCGAGACACAGAAGCACAAUAUAAAUAUCCACGGAUACAGAAAAGGAAGCAAUGCUCUUCUCGCUGAUCUACGUGUCAGGGAUAACCUCCAGCAUGCUGUCACCCACCAACUGCUUGCUAAGAUGCCAUCCUGGAGACGCAAAUAGGCAACAACAUCAGUAAAGCCUUCACUUGCACUCCCUCCCAGCUGCUCACCAUGCAGUGGCGACCCC